RNAcentral lists this signal recognition particle RNA (103 nucleotides) under Desulfoscipio gibsoniae DSM 7213. RNAcentral's name for it is "Desulfallas gibsoniae DSM 7213 Bacterial signal recognition particle RNA". It matches the Rfam family "Bacterial small signal recognition particle RNA". From Rfam's summary of the family: The signal recognition particle (SRP) is a universally conserved ribonucleoprotein involved in the co-translational targeting of proteins to membranes. Archaeal SRP consists of a 7S RNA and homologues of the eukaryotic SRP19 and SRP54 proteins. In most bacteria, the SRP consists of a 4.5S RNA and the Ffh protein (a homologue of the eukaryotic SRP54 protein). The record is from RNAcentral. Lineage: Bacteria; Bacillati; Bacillota; Clostridia; Eubacteriales; Desulfallaceae.
CGAUUGGGUCUUGCGCGACGGAGGCUUUUGAACCGUGUCAGGUCCUGACGGAAGCAGCACUAAGGAAGUUUAUCCGGGUGCCGCAAGGGUGCCUGGUCCGAGC